UGGGGAAGUAUUGGGUCGAAUGGGCGGAAAGACCUGACCCACGCGACGCCGCGUGAGGGAAGACGGUCUUCGGAUUGUAAACCUUAGUCAACAGGGAAGAAAUCAAUGACGGUACCUGUGGAGGAAGCCACGGCUAACUACGUGCCAGCAGCCGCGGUAAUACGUAGGUGGCAAGCGUUAUCCGGAUUUACUGGGUGUAAAGGGUGUGUAGGCGGGGAGGCAAGUCGGAUGUGAAAACUAUGGGCUCAACUCAUAGCUUGCAUUCGAAACUGUUUCUCUUGAGGGUCGGAGAGGUAAAUGGAAUUCCCAGUGU
This 313-nucleotide ribosomal RNA is filed under the name uncultured Pseudoflavonifractor sp. Its description in RNAcentral is "bacterial SSU rRNA". It matches the Rfam family "Bacterial small subunit ribosomal RNA", at positions 355 to 676 of the family's 1533-position model. Lineage: Bacteria; Bacillati; Bacillota; Clostridia; Eubacteriales; Oscillospiraceae. The record is from RNAcentral.